This 75-nucleotide transfer RNA is filed under the name Nitrososphaeria archaeon. Its description in RNAcentral is "tRNA-Glu". It matches the Rfam family "tRNA". Rfam says of the family: Transfer RNA (tRNA) molecules are approximately 80 nucleotides in length. Their secondary structure includes four short double-helical elements and three loops (D, anti-codon, and T loops). Further hydrogen bonds mediate the characteristic L-shaped molecular structure. tRNAs have two regions of fundamental functional importance: the anti-codon, which is responsible for specific mRNA codon recognition, and the 3' end, to which the tRNAs corresponding amino acid is attached (by aminoacyl-tRNA synthetases). tRNAs cope with the degeneracy of the genetic code in two manners: having more than one tRNA (with a specific anti-codon) for a particular amino acid; and 'wobble' base-pairing, i.e. permitting non-standard base-pairing at the 3rd anti-codon position. RNAcentral also lists the same sequence under 1 other name. The record is from RNAcentral. Lineage: Archaea; Thermoproteati; Nitrososphaerota; Nitrososphaeria.
GCUCCGGUAGUAUAGCCAGGACAAGUAUGCGGGCCUUUCGAGCCCGUGACCCGGGUUCAAAUCCCGGCCGGAGCA